UGGGGAAUAUUGCACAAUGGGCGCAAGCCUGAUGCAGCCAUGCCGCGUGUAUGAAGAAGGCCUUCGGGUUGUAAAGUACUUUCAGUCGGGAGGAAGGUGGUAAGGUUAAUAACCUUAUCAAUUGACGUUACCGACAGAAGAAGCACCGGCUAACUCCGUGCCAGCAGCCGCGGUAAUACGGAGGGUGCAAGCGUUAAUCGGAAUUACUGGGCGUAAAGCGCACGCAGGCGGUUGAUUGAGUCAGAUGUGAAAUCCCCGGGCUUAACCCGGGAAUUGCAUCUGAGACUGGUCAGCUAGAGUCGUGUAGAGGGGGGUAGAAUUCCAUGUGUAGCGGUGAAAUGCGUAGAGAUGUGGAGGAAUACCGGUGGCGAAGGCGGCCCCCUGGACAAAGACUGACGCUCAGGUGCGAAAGCGUGGGGAGCAAACAGG
RNAcentral lists this ribosomal RNA (429 nucleotides) under Chloroflexota bacterium. RNAcentral's name for it is "Chloroflexi bacterium partial 16S ribosomal RNA". It matches the Rfam family "Bacterial small subunit ribosomal RNA", at positions 355 to 776 of the family's 1533-position model. The record is from RNAcentral. Lineage: Bacteria; Bacillati; Chloroflexota.